Molecule: ribosomal RNA, 301 nt
Filed under: uncultured bacterium
Lineage: Bacteria
Description: partial 16S ribosomal RNA
Rfam family: Bacterial small subunit ribosomal RNA
Source: RNAcentral
CAGUAGCCGCGGUAAUACAGAGGGUGCGAGCGUUAAUCGGAUUUACUGGGCGUAAAGCGUGCGUAGGCGGCUAAUUGAGUCGGAUGUGAAAUCCCCGAGCUUAACUUGGGAAUUGCAUUCGAUACUGGUUAGCUAGAUUGUGGGAGAGGAUGGUAGAAUUCCAGGUGUAGCGGUGAAAUGCGUAGAGAUCUGGAGGAAUACCGAUGGCGAAGGCAGCCAUCUGGCCUAACACUGACGCUGAGGUACGAAAGCAUGGGGAGCAAACAGGAUUAGAGACCCCCGUAGUCCCUGUCUCUUAUAC